CCUAAACCUCUUGGGGACGUGGCAGAACUUGUGCUUAAAGGACUACAUGCUAUUAUUCAGAAGCAUGAACACAUGAUAUUGCAAACUAUUCUAGUGCACACAUACGCACACACACACCCCUACACAGGAGUCAACACCUCACCCUGAACAUUUUUACAUUAUUGGCAUGUUGCAGAGCACGUUCUGCUUCUCCACAUUUUAAUUCUGAGCUACAGCUAAUCAAAGCACAGGCUCCAUCCUUGGCAGCAGCAGAGCCCAGAUGUGCAGUUCCUGGAAGGAAUCGCUCCCACAGUGUCAUCUGGCUAUCACCUCCCCUCGCCUGGUUUCUCCAGCGGAUUCCAAAGUGGCGAUGCUGUGUAUCAUGCCAGUUUCACCUACGUUCACACCAUUCUUUUGUAAACGGGAGUACCUGGUUCACUUUACACGUUUCUAAACUGAGAAGGAAGAAAUCACAGCAUCCAGACUUCCAUUAGAGGGUCACUUCUCCCCUGCUGUGUGCGGUCUUGGUGACCCUAUAAAUCAAGGUGCCCAACCCUCUUCUUCUAAGGGCUGGGCACACGACUAAAUUCCAGCUGCUUUAGCUCCAUUCUCUCUCCCUCUCCUUCCCUCCUUCUCCUUCUUUUUCUCUCUCUUUCCUUCUUCUAAGACUUUGAGUCUUGAGAAAACGACGAAAGAACAAGGAAAACAGUUGGAAUGCAUGUUCACUGGCUGUGCCCUCCAAGACUGGGGAGAAGUUCCUGGUGCUUAAACCCUCAGAAACAGUCUCCAAUUAUGGCCCUUUAACCAGAAACAUUUGAAAAAUGAAUAAUGCGGAAGGUGCGAAGCUACAUAGAGGCUGAGUCUGCCUAAAAAUGUUGUUGUACCAUAGCACAGCAUUAAAGAAAACCAGAAAAACAAGUAGGUAGCUAGAGCCAAUUCAAAUUCUACACGGGAUCUAUCUAUCGUCCAAACAGUGGAAACACAUUUGGCAGCUAUUAAAGGAUGCUGCCAGAAGCAGAACCGAAGUUUCCAGACUCUGAUUUUACCACUGCAUCCCCUGCAGCCACUCUGAUUGUUAGUGAGUCCUUGUCUUGAGAGGUCUUCGAGGAAUCCUGGCUCAGCAAAGGGUAUGAGGGAGGUUUGCUACUGAUGGCUUCAGGGGUUUGAGAGGGGCAAGGAUGGCCUGAUGUUCUGCUAUUUGACCUUUUGGCUUACUCUUCACUGCCUUCUAUGAGACUAUAUAUAUUUAAUUGCCCCUGAAUGACAUAAGCAAUAAGUCUCAACUGCACUGAAUAUAUUUGAUCUUGUCUAUAUUAAAUAGAAGGGAAAAAGUUUUUUCAGUUUUUACUUAUUUGUUUUUGACAAAUAAAAACUGUAUAUAUUUAAGAUACCCAAGGUGAUGUUUUGAUAUAUGUAUACAUUGUGAAAUGAUUACAACAAUUAGACUAAUCAACAUAUCCAUCACCUCUCAUAGUUACCAUUGUGUGUGUGUGUGUGUGUGGAGAGAACACUUGGCAGCUAUUCUCUUAGCAAACUUCAAGAAUACAACACAUUAUUAUUAACCUUGGCCACCAUGCUGUAUAUUAGGUCUCUGGAACUUAUUCACCUUAUAACUAAGAGUUUGUACACUUUGAUUGAUAUCUCCUCUUUCCGCUCCCCCACCUCUGGUAACCAGGAACCACCCUUCUACUAUCUGUUACUAUGAAUUCAACUUUUUGGAAAAACAGUCUUGCUCACUCCAGGGGAGAGGAGGGGCUUUGAAUGGAACCCUGAAGAAUGGAAAGGCUCCAUCUGGAUGAGAGAAAAGGGAAAACCAUCACCAGACACAGGAAGAGAAGGAACGCAGUGAUCAUUCUGCAGAGAAGUAAAGAAUCCAGUUUGGUUGGAGAACAAGAUUUAUAGAUAGGAGUCCUGGGGAAAUGACUGGAAGGAUAGAAGGCAGCCUGAUUACCAGUAACCCUAAAUGAUGGUAUGGAAAUUUGAUGCUAAACUGGUGCAGGUUUGGGGAGAGGGAAGAGUUGAAGAAGAAAAGAAGUUUUAGUAUUUGCUUUAAAAAGCUUAUUUUUCAUAAAUAUGCUUGUGAUAUACACUUAAUUGGCAAUAUAAGGCAAUUUAACUUACCGCACUCUAUACAAAUUGAACCAAAAUAUAUAUUGUCUUUAAUAUUUUAGAAAUGUAUAAAAGAUCCUCUCUUAAAUGCUGCUACAUCAGGCAUACAAGAACAUGAGAAAUUCACCUGUGGUUACUUCAGAAAAUAUAUACAAUACACGUAAACUGUAUCAUAAAAGCUUAAAACAUGGUACAAAAAGUUUUAGUAUUUCCAUGCCAGUUUACAAAAAUUGAAUCCCUAUAACAUUGUCUUAGGGGAAAUAACAUAUGUUCACAUUUGAAACCAUCACAAUAGCUACCUGGAUUCAAUUAAUAUUGCAUGUAGAUGGUAGAUUUACACAAACCAAUAUUCAAGAGAGUGAAUCUGAUCAACAGCAUUAGCUCAGCUACUCAACUGGGGUAAAUAAGGAAAUUUAAUAUAUUGGUGGUCCAUUUUUCUGAUUCUUAUAUAAAAUGAAAUAUUCAGUUUCAUCCUUAGCUCUCCAGAGUUGGUAACCAUACUAUAGCAAGAUGUUCUUUCUACACUCAAUGUGCAUAGUCAUCAGUGUCCUUGACUUUAAGUUGACAAACACUCAGUUACAAUACAGACCCCAUAUAAGCUCAAGACAACCAACUUUUAAAAGAGAAAGUGCUCCUCUUGGAAGAUUGGAGCAGAACAUUUAGUUGUGCUUUUAAAAGUCCUUAUCAACGAGAAGUAAUGCCGAAAAGGAAAAAGCAGCUUUAACAACAGAGGGAAAAAAAUAAGUUAAACAUCUUAAAAAACAGUGUGAAAAGCAAAUUUAAAAAACAGUUAAAGAGAGAUACAUUUUGAGAGACUAACAAAAAUUAGAUCUCCAGCAUUUCAGGGGAUCAUCACUAGUAAGUAAUCAUAACUUUGCAAGGACCAGGUUCUGUUUUUUUAAUCCUUUAUAAUUAAAAUUUUUAGUUUCCAUUCUGUCAACAAGGGAAAGCCGAUACAGCAAUGAUUCAAGGGCAAUUUUAUGUAAAUAUCACAGAUUUCAGACGAAAAGUCAUACUCAACAGAAGCAAAAGUUCAUAG
Long non-coding RNA from Equus caballus (horse), 3127 nucleotides. NCBI's taxonomy places the organism in Eukaryota, Metazoa, Chordata, Mammalia, Perissodactyla, Equidae. The record is from Ensembl.